Molecule: ribosomal RNA, 427 nt
Filed under: uncultured bacterium
Lineage: Bacteria
Description: partial 16S ribosomal RNA
Rfam family: Bacterial small subunit ribosomal RNA
Source: RNAcentral
UGGGGAAUAUUGCACAAUGGGCGCAAGCCUGAUGCAGCCAUGCCGCGUGUAUGAAGAAGGCCUUCGGGUUGUAAAGUACUUUCAGCGAGGAGGAAGGCGUUGUGGUUAAUAACCGCAACGAUUGACGUUACUCGCAGAAGAAGCACCGGCUAACUCCGUGCCAGCAGCCGCGGUAAUACGGAGGGUGCAAGCGUUAAUCGGAAUUACUGGGCGUAAAGCGCACGCAGGCGGUCUGUCAAGUCGGAUGUGAAAUCCCCGGGCUCAAUCUGGGAACUGCAUCCGAAACUGGCAGGCUAGAGUCUUGUAGAGGGGGGUAGAAUUCCAGGUGUAGCGGUGAAAUGCGUAGAGAUCUGGAGGAAUACCGGUGGCGAAGGCGGCCCCCUGGACAAAGACUGACGCUCAGGUGCGAAAGCGUGGGGAGCAAACA